GUGGGGAAUAUUGGACAAUGGGCGCAAGCCUGAUCCAGCAAUGCCGCGUGGGUGAAGAAGGUCUUCGGAUCGUAAAGCUCUUUCGUUAGGGACGAACGUGCUCUUUGUGAAUAAUGAGGAGUAAUGACGGUACCUAAAUAAGAAGCCACGGCUAACUACGUGCCAGCAGCCGCGGUAAUACGUAGGGUGCGAGCGUUAAUCGGAAUUACUAGGCGUAAAGCGUGCGCAGGCGGUUUUGUAAGACAGGCGUGAAAUCCCCGGGCUCAACCUGGGAAUGGCGCGUGUGACUGCAAAGCUGGAGUGCGGCAGAGGGGGAUGGAAUUCCGCGUGUAGCAGUGAAAUGCGUAGAUAUCGGGAGGAACACCAGUGGCGAAGGCGACUUCCUGGCACAAUACUGACGCUCAUGUGCGAAAGCUAGGGUAGCGAACGGGAUUAGAAACCCCUGUAGUCC
RNAcentral lists this ribosomal RNA (451 nucleotides) under uncultured bacterium. RNAcentral describes it as "partial 16S ribosomal RNA". It matches the Rfam family "Bacterial small subunit ribosomal RNA", at positions 354 to 796 of the family's 1533-position model. The record is from RNAcentral.